AUUGAACGCUGGCGGCAGGCCUAACACAUGCAAGUCGAACGAGUGGCGGACGGGUGAGUAAUGUCUGGGAAACUGCCUGAUGGAGGGGGAUAACUACUGGAAACGGUAGCUAAUACCGCAUACCAUCAGAUGUGCCCAGAUGGGAUUAGCUUGUUGGUGGGGUAACGGCUCACCAAGGCGACGAUCCCUAGCUGGUCUGAGAGGAUGACCAGCCAGACUGGAACGGAGACACGGUCCAGACGCCUACGGAAGGCAGCAGUGGGGAAUAUUGCACAAUUGGGGCAAGCCUGAUGCAGCCAUGCCGCGUAGAUGAAUAAGGCCUUCGGGUUUGAAAGUACUUUCAGCGAGGAGGCGUUAACCGCAGAAGAAGCACCGGCUAACUCCGUGCCAGCAGCCGCGGUAAUAC
This 406-nucleotide ribosomal RNA is filed under the name uncultured bacterium. Its description in RNAcentral is "partial 16S ribosomal RNA". It matches the Rfam family "Bacterial small subunit ribosomal RNA", at positions 30 to 526 of the family's 1533-position model. The record is from RNAcentral.